GUGGGGAAUCUUGCGCAAUGGGCGAAAGCCUGACGCAGCAACGCCGCGUGGGGGACGAAGGCUCUCGGGUUGUAAACCCCUUUCAGUAGGAACGAUUGUGACGGUACCUACAGAAGAAGCACCGGCUAACUACGUGCCAGCAGCCGCGGUAAUACGUAGGGUGCGAGCGUUGUCCGGAUUUAUUGGGCGUAAAGAGCUCGUAGGCGGUUCAGUAAGUCGGUUGUGAAAACUCCAGGCUCAACCUGGAGCCUGCAUUCGAUACUGCUGUGACUAGAGUCUGGUAGGGGAUCACGGAAUUCCUGGUGUAGCGGUGAAAUGCGCAGAUAUCAGGAGGAACACCGGUGGCGAAGGCGGUGAUCUGGGCCAGUACUGACGCUGAGGAGCGAAAGCGUGGGGAGCAAACAGGAUUAGAAACCCGGGUAGUCC
Molecule: ribosomal RNA, 426 nt
Filed under: uncultured bacterium
Lineage: Bacteria
Description: bacterial SSU rRNA
Rfam family: Bacterial small subunit ribosomal RNA
Source: RNAcentral